RNAcentral lists this ribosomal RNA (247 nucleotides) under uncultured bacterium. Its description in RNAcentral is "partial small subunit ribosomal RNA". It matches the Rfam family "Bacterial small subunit ribosomal RNA", at positions 26 to 278 of the family's 1533-position model. The record is from RNAcentral.
AGGACGAACGCUGGCGGCGUGCUUAACACAUGCAAGUCGAGCGGAAAGGCCCUUCGGGGUACUCGAGCGGCGAACGGGUGAGUAACACGUGAGUAACCUGCCCCUAGCUCUGGGAUAGCUCCGGGAAACCGGGAUUAAUACCAGAUACGACCACUUUAGACAUCUGUCGUGGUGGAAAGGAUUCCGGCUAAGGAUGGGCUCGCGGCCUAUCAGCUAGUUGGUGGAGUAACGGCCCACCAAGGCGACG